CAGUCGAGGGGUAUUGUUCUUCGGAAUGAGAGACCGGCGCACGGGUGCGUAACGCGUAUGCAAUCUACCUUUCACAGAGGGAUAGCCCAGAGAAAUUUGGAUUAAUACCUCAUAGUAUAUAGAGUUGGCAUCAACAUUAUAUUAAAGUCACAACGGUGAAAGAUGAGCAUGCGUCCCAUUAGCUUGUUGGUAAGGUAACGGCUUACCAAGGCAACGAUGGGUAGGGGUCCUGAGAGGGAGAUCCCCCACACUGGUACUGAGACACGGACCAGACUCCUACGGGAGGCAGCAGUGAGGAAUAUUGGACAAUGGGCGCAAGCCUGAUCCAGCCAUGCCGCGUGCAGGAUGACGGUCCUAUGGAUUGUAAACUGCUUUUGCACAGGAAGAAACACUCGGACGUGUCCGAGCUUGACGGUACUGUGAGAAUAAGGAUCGGCUAACUCCGUGCCAGCAGCCGCGGUAAUACGGAGGAUCCAAGCGUUAUCCGGAAUCAUUGGGUUUAAAGGGUCCGUAGGCGGUUUGGUAAGUCAGUGGUGAAAGCCCAUCGCUCAACGGUGGAACGGCCAUUGAUACUGCUAGACUUGAAUUAUUAGGAAGUAACUAGAAUAUGUAGUGUAGCGGUGAAAUGCUUAGAGAUUACAUGGAAUACCAAUUGCGAAGGCAGGUUACUACUAAUGGAUUGACGCUGAUGGACGAAAGCGUGGGUAGCGAACAGGAUUAGAUACCCUGGUAGUCCACGCCGUAAACGAUGGAUACUAGCUGUUGGGAGCAAUCUCAGU
RNAcentral lists this ribosomal RNA (779 nucleotides) under uncultured bacterium. RNAcentral describes it as "bacterial SSU rRNA". It matches the Rfam family "Bacterial small subunit ribosomal RNA", at positions 59 to 844 of the family's 1533-position model. The record is from RNAcentral.